UACGUAGGGUCCGAGCGUUGUCCGGAAUUAUUGGGCGUAAAGAGCUCGUAGGCGGUUUGUCGCGUCUGCUGUGAAAUCCCGAGGCUCAACCUCGGGCCUGCAGUGGGUACGGGCAGACUUGAGUGCGGUAGGGGAGAAUGGAAUUCCUGGUGUAGCGGUGAAAUGCGCAGAUAUCAGGAGGAACACCUAUGGCGAAGGCAGCUCGCUGGGACGGUACUGACGCUGAGACGCGAAAGCGUGGGGAGCGAACAGG
Molecule: ribosomal RNA, 253 nt
Filed under: uncultured bacterium
Lineage: Bacteria
Description: partial 16S ribosomal RNA
Rfam family: Bacterial small subunit ribosomal RNA
Source: RNAcentral